RNAcentral lists this ribosomal RNA (305 nucleotides) under uncultured bacterium. RNAcentral's name for it is "partial 16S ribosomal RNA". It matches the Rfam family "Bacterial small subunit ribosomal RNA", at positions 333 to 641 of the family's 1533-position model. The record is from RNAcentral.
UUAUGCCUACGGGGGGCAGCAGUGGGGAAUAUUGCACAAUGGGGGAAACCCUGAUGCAGCGACGCCGCGUGAGUGAAGAAGUAUCUCGGUACGUAAAGCUCUAUCAGCAGGGAAGAAAAAAAGUCUUUGGCUUUGGACGGUACCUGACUAAGAAGCCCCGGCUAACUACGUGCCAGCAGCCGCGGUAAUACGUAGGGGGCAAGCGUUAUCCGGAUUUAUUGGGUUUAAAGGGUGCGUAGGCGGACAGUCAAGUCAGCGGUAAAAAUGCGGUGCUCAACGCCGUACAGCCGUUGAACCUGGCAGUC